RNAcentral lists this ribosomal RNA (559 nucleotides) under marine metagenome. Its description in RNAcentral is "bacterial LSU rRNA". It matches the Rfam family "Bacterial large subunit ribosomal RNA", at positions 2367 to 2925 of the family's 2925-position model. The record is from RNAcentral.
GCUUGACUGUGAGACUGACAGGUCGAGCAGGGACGAAAGUCGGGACUAGUGAUCCGGCAGUGGCUUGUGGAAGCGCUGUCGCUCAACGGAUAAAAGGUACCUCGGGGAUAACAGGCUGAUCUUGCCCAAGAGUCCAUAUCGACGGCAUGGUUUGGCACCUCGAUGUCGGCUCGUCGCAUCCUGGGGCUGGAGUAGGUCCCAAGGGUUGGGCUGUUCGCCCAUUAAAGCGGUACGCGAGCUGGGUUUAGAACGUCGUGAGACAGUUCGGUCCCUAUCCGCUGCGCGCGUAGGAAAUUUGAGAAGAUCUAUCCCUAGUACGAGAGGACCGGGAUGGACGAACCUCUGGUGUGUCAGUUGUUCCGCCAGGAGCACCGCUGAUUAGCUACGUUCGGAAUGGAUAACCGCUGAAAGCAUCUAAGCGGGAAGCCAGCUUCAAGAUGAGAUUUCCAUCCCUUAGGGGGAGAGGCUCGCAGCUAGACUACUGCGUUGAUAGGCCGGAUGUGGAAGCGUGGCAACACGUGUAGCUGACCGGUACUAAUAAGCCGAUAACUUGACAACA